GACGAACGCUGGCGGCGUGCCUAAUACAUGCAAGUAGAACGCUGAAGGAGGAGCUUGCUUCUCUGGAUGAGUUGCGAACAGGUGAGUAACGCGUAGGUAACCUGCCUGGUAGCGGGGGAUAACUAUUGGAAACGAUAGCUAAUACCGCAUAAGAGUAGAUGUCGCAUGACAUUUGCUUAAAAGGUGCAAUUGCAUCACUACCAGAUGGACCUGCGUUGUAUUAGCUAGUUGGUGAGGUAACGGCUCACCAAGGCAACGAUACAUAGCCGACCUGAGAGGGUGAUCGGCCACACUGGGACUGAGACACGGCCCAGACUCCUACGGGAGGCAGCAGUAGGGAAUCUUCGGCAAUGGACGGAAGUCUGACCGAGCAACGCCGCGUGAGUGAAGAAGGUUUUCGGAUCGUAAAGCUCUGUUGUAAGAGAAGAACGAGUGUGAGAGUGGAAAGUUCACACUGUGACGGUAUCUUACCAGAAAGGGACGGCUAACUACGUG
RNAcentral lists this ribosomal RNA (495 nucleotides) under uncultured bacterium. RNAcentral's name for it is "partial 16S ribosomal RNA". It matches the Rfam family "Bacterial small subunit ribosomal RNA", at positions 28 to 507 of the family's 1533-position model. The record is from RNAcentral.